UGCUGACCCGGUGCCUGCACUAAGUUCGGCAUCAAUAUGGUGACCACCUGGGAGCGGGGUCCACCAAGUUGCCUAAGGAUGGCUGAACUGGCCCAGGUCAGAAAGGGAGCAGGUCAGAACUCCCACACCAACCAGUAGUGGGACUGUUCCUGGGCA
Molecule: unclassified non-coding RNA, 156 nt
Organism: Macaca fascicularis (crab-eating macaque)
Lineage: Eukaryota; Metazoa; Chordata; Mammalia; Primates; Cercopithecidae
Rfam family: Metazoan signal recognition particle RNA
About the family: The signal recognition particle (SRP) is a universally conserved ribonucleoprotein.
Source: Ensembl